RNAcentral lists this ribosomal RNA (479 nucleotides) under uncultured bacterium. RNAcentral's name for it is "partial 16S ribosomal RNA". It matches the Rfam family "Bacterial small subunit ribosomal RNA", at positions 355 to 821 of the family's 1533-position model. The record is from RNAcentral.
UGGGGAAUUUUGGACAAUGGGCGCAAGCCUGAUCCAGCCAUGCCGCGUGCGGGAAGAAGGCCUUCGGGUUGUAAACCGCUUUUGUCAGGGAAGAAAUCUUCUGAGUUAAUACCUCGGGAGGAUGACGGUACCUGAAGAAUAAGCACCGGCUAACUACGUGCCAGCAGCCGCGGUAAUACGUAGGGUGCAAGCGUUAAUCGGAAUUACUGGGCGUAAAGCGUGCGCAGGCGGUUUUGUAAGACAGAGGUGAAAUCCCCGGGCUCAACCUGGGAACUGCCUUUGUGACUGCAAGGCUUGAGUGCGGCAGAGGGGGGAUGGAAUUCCGCGUGUAGCAGUGAAAUGCGUAGAUAUGCGGAGGAACACCGAUGGCGAAGGCAAAUCCCCCUGGGCCUGCACUGACGCUCAUGCACGAAAGCGUGGGGAGCAAACAGGAUUAGAUAGCCCUGGUAGUCCACGCCCUAAAACGAUGUCAACUGGUU